Molecule: long non-coding RNA, 3260 nt
Filed under: Pelobates cultripes (western spadefoot toad)
Lineage: Eukaryota; Metazoa; Chordata; Amphibia; Anura; Pelobatidae
Source: RNAcentral
GGUCUCUCUCGGUCUUGGCUCUUGGCUCUGGGCUCUCUCUGGCUCUCUCGAUGUAAAAAUGUAAGAAUGUAAGGAAGUCCAGCAAUUACCAUCUGCUGUUGAAACAUUCAUUAUCCAGUAACAUCCUUUGUUGUUUUAUUAUGUAUCUGUAACUAAGAAUAAACCUGAAGAAACCGUAAGUCAGAUUGCGUAUUAGUACUUUUCAAUAAUAUAGACAUAUAUUAUUGUGGCGAGCAUUUGGCCCAAGACUAUAUAUACAAAAGAUGUAUAUAUAUAUCAAUCAACUGAAGACAAGAAGAAAUUAAGAAGAUUUAAUAGUGACGAUCGUUCCAACCAGAUUUUACAUUGGCCAGCCAGCCAGCCAGUCUUCUAUUCAAGUUUUGUUCCCCCUUCAAGGGGGGGAGAGAGAAGAAUCAAGUUACAAAGCUAUUUUGGAACUGGGAAAACAAACUUGAAGAGAAAAAAAGAAUCUAGACUGACUAUCAUAAAAGAACUGUGGUUUGUAAGAAAAAGAAAGUUUUCAAAUCACAAAGACUGUACAAGACUAUUUUCUACAACUGAGACAAAAAGCACAAGAUCCAACAUGAAUUCUAGAAGCAAGCACGUGGCAGAGAUUGGCAAUCAUCCAGAUCCAAGCCCAGAACUGCGCAGCUGUGUGGAUGAAGCAACGAAAUAGACAGAAAUAACUGAUCUGGUGAGUAACAUGGAAUUCAUAAAUGAUAUUGCAGAGAAAAGUAAAUUGCAGUUUGCAUGUAAUAGCAGCUAUUCAGAUGCUGUAUUGUGGCAAUCUUUAUACACACAAUGUGAAAUUGCCAAUAGUGAAAUUGACAAGAAAUUGUUUGUUAAUAAGAAAAAACAAAAGAUCCAAAAUUUUAUGAAACUUGUCUGUACUUACAAUGUAUUGAUUUGUAAACAAGAUGCAGGUCAAGAAAAUUUAGAAUCAGCAGAUAAAGAAGUAGAUUUGUAUGGGUUAACAGAAGACAAAUCAGAUUUAAAUGAACAGUGUAACAAAGUAACAGAGAGCACAUGCUGUAAAUAGUCAGAAACAGUCUGUGAACUAGAGGAUAGAGUUGAAUUAAUAAACAAUCUUUUUUGCCAGCUUAGAAAUGAAGUUAAGCAAAUGUGUGUUAAUACAAGAAAAAUACAGGCACAGAAUUUAAUCCCAGAACCAAUAGAUACUGAAAAUGUAUCCUCACAGAGUGAUUUGCAGAAAUGCAAAUUUCAAGACAGUGCUGCAAAACUUAAUUUGAAAAUACAUGAACAAUUAAUGAAAAUUGUGAAAUGUAUUCCAGUGUAUGACACGUCAGUGGAUGCAUUUACUAAUGCUGAAAUGUUUGAGUCAAAUUUGGAUAAAUACAGCCUAAAUGACGUUGCUUUAUUCUUAGAUAACUUGAGAGAAACCAAUAAUGAAGGGGUUAAAAUGACUUGUGGAAUUAGGCAGAGAAAGAAGUGAAGAUUUGACACCCCUCGUCCCCCUCCUCCUUUUUCUAGGACUCAAUGUAAAAGAGUGAUACAGACAGCUGAGCCACUCACAAAUUUUUUGUACUAGAAACUGCACAAUUAAUCAAAGGCAGAAUAUAACUCCUAAAGUUAUUUGUUUUUGGUGCAGUAAACAACAUUAUUUAAGGUCUUGCAGAUAUUUUAUCCGAUAUAUCAAAUCAAAAGCAAAUGAGAAAUUAAAUUUGUUGAUUGAAAAUUUUGACAGAGAAAAUACAUGUGGAGAUAAAUCAAUUAAAGCCUUUCCUUGUAAACUGAUAAUCAGACAAAUAAGAGCAAUUUUAGCUAAAUCGAAAUUAGGAGACAGACAAGCAAUGCAGUGUAACACAGAAAGUUAUAAGAAUCAGAUAACUUCAAGAGAUAUGAUCAGUUUAGGGAAUGAGCAUGGAUAUGUGUGCCAACAGAUGUACACAGGCUGAUUCCAGAAUUAAGAACAGCACACAAGAAAAGAGAUCUAUGUGAGUUUGUUGUUUUAAUGAAUUGUUAGUCUGAACUGUUUUUUCAUUGUUUUUAUGUGUGUUGUAAGAAAGUAUUAGGUUAAUUAAUUAAAAUAAAAAUUUACAUCAAGUUUGCAAAUAUGGCAGAAUGAAAUACACUAAUGAAGCAGUUAGGAACAUGCAAUGUAUGUUAUAUUGGGUGUAUGCGAUUAUACAGUAACUCAUUUUACAGAAGGAAAAAAAAAAAACAAUGAAUAUUCCUUGUUACUUCUGAGGUUAAUUUACAAUCUUUGAUUUAAUUCAUGAGAGUGAGAUUUUAAUAUCAUGACUGAUAAUGGAUUACUAUAUUUUGCAAAUCCUGGACAUACAUAUGUUUUGACUACAUAGAAGACAAAAGUUUUGAUAGAAUAAAACCUAGAUUUACAAAUACAUUUGAUGUAGGAAACAAUAGAUGUUUUUUUGUAGUUUGUUUCAUGUGACAAAAAUGGUGCCAGUGACAAGAUGGCUGCUAUUGCUAAACUAUAGUGGAAAACAAUAUUUUGUUGUAACAUCUGACAUGUGAUUAGGUUAUACCUCCAGAUUAUUAAACAGUUUAAAAGGGGGUAUGAUUAAUAAAAAGUUUGGAAAUUUAAAAUGUUCAGAAAGAUUUUAAUAUAAAGGAAAUUUAAAGAUUAUACAUCACAUGGCAUAAAUGUAAUGACCACUAGAUGGUAGAUCUCAUGAGAAGAAAUGAGAAUGUUGUGUAGUCAAUAAAAUUCAAUGUUAAACAUUGUAAGCCAUUGUAUUGAUGCUGCACAUGUUUUUUUGUUUUAAUGUAGGUAAAGCGUGACAGAUCCUUGUGGCAAAAAUCAGGAAAGCAUUCCUUCAGACAACUGGACAUCGACUGUUGGAAAGAGACUUUUCAUCUGAUCUGCAAACUGUGAUGGAAGAUUCUACGGAGUUCAUUCGAUACAGAAGAUUAACAGACUUACAAAGAAAUAAAAGAUUGACACUAACAUUCUUAUUAAUUCCUAAAUAUUAAUGGAAAAGAAAACAGACAAUGAAAAGUUAUAUAACAGUUUAUGAGUGUAUUAAAGGACCACUCUAGGCACCCAGACCACUUCAGCUUAAUGAAGUGGUCUGGGUGUCAGGUCCAGCUAGGGUUAACCCUUUUUUAAAUAAACAUAGCAGUUUCAGAGAAACUGCUAUGUUUAUAAAUGGGUUAAUCCAGCCUCCAAAUCCUCUAGUGGCUGUCACAUUGACAGCCGCUAGAGGCGUUUGCGUGCUUCUCACUGUGAAAAUCACGGUGAGAAGACGCCAGCGUCCAUAGGAAAGCAUUGUGAAUGC